GUCGGGGUAGCUCAGCGGUUAGAGCGAGCGUCUCAUACGCGUUAGGUCGUGAGUUCGAAUCUCACCCCCGACACAA
RNAcentral lists this transfer RNA (76 nucleotides) under Parcubacteria group bacterium SW_6_46_9. RNAcentral's name for it is "tRNA-Met". It matches the Rfam family "tRNA". From Rfam's summary of the family: Transfer RNA (tRNA) molecules are approximately 80 nucleotides in length. Their secondary structure includes four short double-helical elements and three loops (D, anti-codon, and T loops). Further hydrogen bonds mediate the characteristic L-shaped molecular structure. tRNAs have two regions of fundamental functional importance: the anti-codon, which is responsible for specific mRNA codon recognition, and the 3' end, to which the tRNAs corresponding amino acid is attached (by aminoacyl-tRNA synthetases). tRNAs cope with the degeneracy of the genetic code in two manners: having more than one tRNA (with a specific anti-codon) for a particular amino acid; and 'wobble' base-pairing, i.e. permitting non-standard base-pairing at the 3rd anti-codon position. The record is from RNAcentral.